UUCAAUGUGAGCUCCAAGUGG
RNAcentral lists this unclassified non-coding RNA (21 nucleotides) under Chlamydomonas reinhardtii. Its description in RNAcentral is "small RNA Cre_3782". The record is from RNAcentral. Lineage: Eukaryota; Viridiplantae; Chlorophyta; Chlorophyceae; Chlamydomonadales; Chlamydomonadaceae.